RNAcentral lists this ribosomal RNA (186 nucleotides) under Bacillus sp. enrichment culture DGGE gel band gz-1h-8. RNAcentral describes it as "partial 16S ribosomal RNA". It matches the Rfam family "Bacterial small subunit ribosomal RNA", at positions 346 to 524 of the family's 1533-position model. The record is from RNAcentral. Lineage: Bacteria; Bacillati; Bacillota; Bacilli; Caryophanales; Bacillaceae.
AGGCAGCAGUAGGGAAUCUUCCGCAAUGGACGAAAGUCUGACGGAGCAACGCCGCGUGAGUGAUGAAGGUUUUCGGAUCGUAAAGCUCUGUUGCCAGGGAAGAACGCUUGGGAGAGUAACUGCUCUCAAGGUGACGGUACCUGAGAAGAAAGCCCCGGCUAACUACGUGCCAGCAGCCGCGGUAAU